RNAcentral lists this transfer RNA (72 nucleotides) under Ovis aries (sheep). It matches the Rfam family "tRNA". Rfam says of the family: Transfer RNA (tRNA) molecules are approximately 80 nucleotides in length. Their secondary structure includes four short double-helical elements and three loops (D, anti-codon, and T loops). The record is from Rfam by way of RNAcentral. Lineage: Eukaryota; Metazoa; Chordata; Mammalia; Artiodactyla; Bovidae.
UCCCUGGUGGCUCAGACGGUAAAGCAUCUGCCUGCAAGGAGGGAGACCCGGGUUCGAUCCCCGGGUGGGGAG